This is a non-coding RNA of Misgurnus anguillicaudatus (oriental weatherfish), 182 nucleotides long. The record is from RefSeq and is a predicted model, not a curated record. NCBI's taxonomy places the organism in Eukaryota, Metazoa, Chordata, Actinopteri, Cypriniformes, Cobitidae.
CAACAAUGAAAGGGAUGGAUUAUUACAAAGCCAUCAUGUUUGUGCAGAAAUGGAGAGUUUAGAGGAAAGGCGGAGACUCAUUCAAGAGCAAGAUUCAGCUUAUGAAGAAUCGUUAAUCAUGGACCAACAGAGGAUGGAAAAUGAGAGAAGAAGGGAAAGACUAGAGGAGAGACGAUUACUGG